Molecule: ribosomal RNA, 484 nt
Filed under: uncultured bacterium
Lineage: Bacteria
Description: partial 16S ribosomal RNA
Rfam family: Bacterial small subunit ribosomal RNA
Source: RNAcentral
AGUGAACGCUGGCGGCAGGCCUAACACAUGCAAGUCGAGCGGCAGCGGGUCCUUCGGGAUGCCGGCGAGCGGCGGACGGGUGAGGAAUGCAUCGGAAUCUGCCCUGUCGUGGGGGAUAACCUAGGGAAACUUAGGCUAAUACCGCAUACGACCCACGGGUGAAAGCGGGGGAUCGCAAGACCUCGCGCGAUAGGAUGAGCCGAUGUCCGAUUAGCUAGUUGGCGGGGUAAAGGCCCACCAAGGCGACGAUCGGUAGCUGGUCUGAGAGGAUGAUCAGCCACACUGGGACUGAUACACGGCCCAGACUCCUACGGGAGGCAGCAGUGGGGAAUAUUGGACAAAGGGCGCAAGCCUGAUCCAGCCAUGCCGCGUGGGUGAAGAAGGCCUUCGGGUUGUAAAGCCCUUUUGUCCGGGAAGAAAUCGUCUGGGCUAAUACCCCGGGCGGAUGACGGUACCGGAAGAAUAAGCACCGGCUAACUUCGUG